CUCCAUCGCCAGCUCGUGAGCGUCCAUGUAUUGCGUCAUAGUAUACAAAAUGGUAACGGUGAGAAUUCCGGGUUUGCGUAAUCUCUUACAUUUACGUAUAUGAGGGUCUAAAAACCGUUUCGGGAGGAAAGAAUAAAGAAUGAUGGACGAAUUAAAGUGCAGAAUAAAGAGAGAAAAAAUAAAGAAAGGAAAGAGGAGAGUAAAAAAGCAAAAAUAGAAUAAAAAACAAUUGAGAAUCAUGGGGUUCAACUUCUAAAUUGUAAAGACUGAAUGAAUUUUGAGAAGUUAUUGAAAGUAAAGGACAAAUUAUCAAUGAAGAAACAGAGAAAAUGUUAAUG
RNAcentral lists this long non-coding RNA (338 nucleotides) under Mytilus galloprovincialis (Mediterranean mussel). The record is from RNAcentral. Lineage: Eukaryota; Metazoa; Mollusca; Bivalvia; Mytilida; Mytilidae.